RNAcentral lists this long non-coding RNA (1519 nucleotides) under Sorghum bicolor (sorghum). Its description in RNAcentral is "long non-coding RNA (SBIC_LNC011558)". The record is from RNAcentral. Lineage: Eukaryota; Viridiplantae; Streptophyta; Magnoliopsida; Poales; Poaceae.
GCUUAUGUGGCACCCUAUUUAAUGUGCAUGACACUCUCAUAAAAUAUGUAUUGAGACUGGCCUAACAAUAUGCUCCAAGUAACUAGAAGUUAUCAACAGAUGCCUGAAGCAAUAGAAUAUGCAUGCCUCAUACUUUAAUCCGAUCCUAAUAAAGCCAACUAUAAAGAAGUGGCAAAUUGAGGAAGUGGGCGCUAUAUAUACUACGCAACUAAACUGCGAGCAACACUCAAGCAAUCCAUCAUCACUCCAAGAAAAUAGGAGACAAGUUCAAGUUGGUAUUUUAUAUACAGGAGUACGUUGUUAACAAUGGCCGCAGGAAUUAUAGAUAAUUACUAGUAGUGUACAAAUUAAGCGACGAUCCAAGCAUUGUACUCCGUACGACUGUGUUGUAUAUAUGCAUAUAUAUCAUAUCAGGAGCGAGAAUCUCGGUAGCCAGCUUGGCGUUUUGCAAAGAUCGAUCGAGCAGCCACUGACACUUCUUAAUCCGGCAAUGAGGCUAUUUGUGGAUGAAGAGAGUAUACAAAUAAUAUACUCUCUUUGUGUUAAAUUAACUAUUAUUUUGUAUUUUCGUGCUCUAAGUUUAACUUGAUUUAUAAAAUAUAUAUAUAAUAUUUAUAUCUUUAAAUAAAAUUAUUAAAAAUUAGAUUUAAAAAUCUUUCCAACGAUAAUAAUUAUAUAUCAUAAAUAUUAAUAUAUUUUAAUAUAUAUUUAAUCAAAGUUGGUUUUUAAGAAACGCAAAUGAUAUUUUGUUUUAGGAAGAGUAGUACACUAGCUGUCAAAGUACGACAUCGUCGUCAGAUGCAAUGCAGCAAAUCGUGAUCGCAUUCUUGAUUCUUCCAGCCCAUAAAAAUACAUGCAACUUGGGCAUGCAUGUGAGUGUGAGCAUAUCUGAUCGAUUAUCUAGAGACAACUAUUACAAGUGGACUACUACUGCAUGGCGCCGCCGGUAGAGGACACAAAAACCAAGGCCAUAUUUAAAUGUAGAUAGGAAAAAACUAUUGUAUAGUUUAGUUGUAAAGGCAAGACAAAUCUUUGAAGACUAAUUAGUCUAUAAUUAGCUAUAAUUACUACAGUAAACUAAUUCAUAUGUGCUAAUAAUAGAUUUAUUAAAUUUAAUCUUACAGUUUUCAUGUGAGCUAUACAAAUUAUUUUUUAAUUAAUCUAUGUUUAAUACUUCAAAUGUAUGUUGAUAUAUCCGAUGUAAUGUUUAAAAUUUUUCUUUUCGCAUACUAAACAAGAGGCAGUAAAGUACUAGUGCAUAUAAACAAGAAAAAGAUAAUUCGCAAAAAAAAAAAGGAAAAGAACGAAACAAAAGGAUCGACAAAAGUUCGGGUAUAUAUAUCAGGUAUGGCCAUCAAAAGGUUGUCCAACAGGUUACCGAGCUCUAAGGCCAAUCUCAAUGGUCUAUUUUAAUGCACUGUUUCCAAAACAAAUCUGUUGACAGAGCACUAAUGAAACUAACAAUGAAACAACCUCCACAAUGCAUGAGUUUCACCUUGAUGUUUCCUAGGCUGGACAA